This 492-nucleotide ribosomal RNA is filed under the name uncultured bacterium. RNAcentral describes it as "bacterial SSU rRNA". It matches the Rfam family "Bacterial small subunit ribosomal RNA", at positions 18 to 507 of the family's 1533-position model. The record is from RNAcentral.
CCUGGCUCAGAUUGAACGCUGGCGGCAUGCCUUACACAUGCAAGUCGAACGGCAGCGGACCUUCGGGUGCCGGCGAGUGGCGAACGGGUGAGUAAUAUAUCGGAACGUACCUUUCAGUGGGGGAUAACGUAGCGAAAGUUACGCUAAUACUGCAUAUUCUGUGAGCAGGAAAGCAGGGGAUCGCAAGACCUUGCGCUGAUUGAGCGGCCGAUAUCAGAUUAGCUAGUUGGUGAGGUAAAGGCUCACCAAGGCGACGAUCUGUAGCGGGUCUGAGAGGAUGAUCCGCCACACUGGAACUGAGACACGGUCCAGACUCCUACGGGAGGCAGCAGUGGGGAAUUUUGGACAAUGGGCGCAAGCCUGAUCCAGCCAUGCCGCGUGAGUGAAGAAGGCCUUCGGGUUGUAAAGCUCUUUCGGCCGGGAAGAAAUCGCACAGGUUAAUACCCUGUGUGGAUGACGGUACCGGAAUAAGAAGCACCGGCUAACUACGUG